Molecule: ribosomal RNA, 752 nt
Filed under: unidentified microorganism
Description: bacterial SSU rRNA
Rfam family: Bacterial small subunit ribosomal RNA
Source: RNAcentral
CUACACAUGCAGUCGAGGGGUAGAGUUCUUCGGAACUUGAGACCGGCGCACGGGUGCGUAACGCGUAUGCAAUCUACCUUAUACAGGGGAAUAGCCCAGAGAAAUUUGGAUUAAUGCCCCAUAGUGUUAUAGAAUCGCAUGGUUUUAUAACUAAAGUUCCAACGGUAUAAGAUGAGCAUGCGUCCCAUUAGUUAGUUGGUAAGGUAACGGCUUACCAAGACAAUGAUGGGUAGGGGUCCUGAGAGGGAGAUCCCCCACACUGGUACUGAGACACGGACCAGACUCCUACGGGAGGCAGCAGUGAGGAAUAUUGGUCAAUGGGCGCAAGCCUGAACCAGCCAUGCCGCGUGCAGGAAGACGGUCCUAUGGAUUGUAAACUGCUUUUAUACAGGAAGAAACCUCCCUACGUGUAGGGACUUGACGGUACUGUAGGAAUAAGGAUCGGCUAACUCCGUGCCAGCAGCCGCGGUAAUACGGAGGAUCCAAGCGUUAUCCGGAAUCAUUGGGUUUAAAGGGUCCGUAGGCGGCCUUAUAAGUCAGUGGUGAAAUCUCCUAGCUCAACUAGGAAACUGCCAUUGAUACUGUAGGGCUUGAAUUUUUGUGAAGUAACUAGAAUAUGUAGUGUAGCGGUGAAAUGCUUAGAUAUUACAUGGAAUACCAAUUGCGAAGGCAGGUUACUAACAAACGAUUGACGCUGAUGGACGAAAGCGUGGGGAGCGAACAGGAUUAGAUACCCUGGUAGUCCACGCCGU